Molecule: unclassified non-coding RNA, 204 nt
Filed under: Hevea brasiliensis (rubber tree)
Lineage: Eukaryota; Viridiplantae; Streptophyta; Magnoliopsida; Malpighiales; Euphorbiaceae
Source: RNAcentral
GGGUAGUUCAUCUAUCCACGGGAUGGACUCAGCAAAUGCAGAGGUCAGCAGGUAGUUGGUGAAGGCUCUAUAUUGGAGGCUAUCACCACUGCAUAAAAGCCAACAGCUCAGGUUGGAGCACAUCUAUAGCCAUAUCAAGCACAAACUAGCAACAAUAUGAAAUGAUAAGAAGAAGAAAUAAUUUUAUUCUUAAAAUAGCUUAUU